RNAcentral lists this long non-coding RNA (1131 nucleotides) under Rattus norvegicus (Norway rat). RNAcentral's name for it is "long non-coding RNA NONRATT013666". Lineage: Eukaryota; Metazoa; Chordata; Mammalia; Rodentia; Muridae. The record is from RNAcentral.
CCAGAGCAUGCCCGUGCAGAACCAGAUGACAAUGAGUCAGGGGCAGCCAAUGGGAAACUAUGGUCCCAGACCAAACAUGAAUAUGCAACCAAAUCAAGGUCCCAUGAUGCACCAGCAGCCUCCUUCUCAGCAGUACAGCAUGCCACCUGGAGGUGCGCAGCAUUACCAAGGACAGCAGGCGCCCAUGGGGCUGAUGGGUCAAGUUAACCAAGGCAGUCACAUGAUGGGCCAGAGACAGAUGCCUCCCUAUAGACCUCCACAACAGGGCCCACCACAGCAGUACUCAGGCCAGGAAGACUAUUAUGGGGACCAAUACAGUCAUGGUGGACAAGGUCCUCCAGAAGGCAUGAACCAGCAAUAUUACCCUGAUGGAAACUCGCAGUACGGCCAGCAGCAGGACGCUUACCAAGGACCACCUCCACAGCAAGGAUACCCACCCCAGCAGCAGCAGUACCCGGGGCAGCAGGGCUACCCAGGACAGCAGCAGGGCUACGGUCCUACCCAGGGCGGUCCAGGGCCUCAGUAUCCUAAUUAUCCUCAGGGUCAAGGUCAGCAGUAUGGGGGCUAUAGACCAACACAGCCAGGACCACCACAGCCACCGCAGCAGAGGCCUUAUGGGUACGACCAGGGACAAUAUGGAAAUUACCAGCAGUGAAAAUGUCCUUACAUUCCAAUAGCCAGCACCUAUUAGCAGCCACAUUGUCACAGCUCUGCACCGUGGACACCCCCGGGGAAGGCUCCUUCCAUUCCAACUAGUUUUUGGAAAAACCUUUGGCUAAAUGGCUGCUUCAUUGGCAAGUAGCUUUUAUGGUGUAGUUUCUAAAGGCUUUCGUAGCUACCAACGCACCUGAUUUCACGUUUCUACUCUAGAUGGCAACAUUGGACAGAAAAUGCACUGACACAAGGACUUGGCAGCCAUUUCAACUGUGUUCCAAAUGGACUGUCACAGACUGAAAGGUGUGAACAGUUUUGCGUGUUCACGGAGGUUGAGGGUUUCAUACUUUUCCACAGAUUAUUUUGUAAGGGGAAGGGGAAAUGUACACUUUCUACAGCAGCCAUAUUUUGUCUAUAUGUUUAUUUCAUGUGGUGAAUAUGCAAAGCGGUACACUCCACACUGGGCAGAGAACCGGA